UACAGAGGUCCCGAGCGUUGUUCGGAUUCAUUGGGCGUAAAGGGUGCGUAGGCGGUGAGGCAAGUCUGGUGUGAAAUCCCGGGGCUCAACCCCGGAACUGCACUGGAUACUGCUUUACUAGAGUACUGGAGAGGGAACUGGAAUUUACGGUGUAGCAGUGAAAUGCGUAGAUAUCGUAAGGAAGACCAGUGGCGAAGGCGAGUUCCUGGACAGUUACUGACGCUGAGGCACGAAGGCCAGGGGAGCAAACGGG
This 253-nucleotide ribosomal RNA is filed under the name uncultured bacterium. Its description in RNAcentral is "partial 16S ribosomal RNA". It matches the Rfam family "Bacterial small subunit ribosomal RNA", at positions 524 to 776 of the family's 1533-position model. The record is from RNAcentral.